AUCCCCUGUGGCUCAGUUGGUAGAGCAUAGCACUUGCAAUGCCAGAGUUGUGGGUUUGAUUCCCACCAGGGACU
This is a non-coding RNA of Oncorhynchus gorbuscha (pink salmon), 74 nucleotides long. The record is from the annotation of a RefSeq genome assembly. NCBI's taxonomy places the organism in Eukaryota, Metazoa, Chordata, Actinopteri, Salmoniformes, Salmonidae.